GAUGAACGCUAGCGGCAGGCCUAACACAUGCAAGUCGAGGGGUAGCAGGAUUAAGCUUGCUUAAUUGCUGACGACCGGCGCACGGGUGCGUAACGCGUAUGCAACCUACCUUAUACUGGGGUAUAGCCCGGAGAAAUUCGGAUUAAUCCCCCAUAGUACUAAUGAAUCGCAUGGUUUAUUAGUUAAAGCAUUGCGGUAUAAGAUGGGCAUGCGUCCUAUUAGCUAGAUGGUGAGGUAACGGCUCACCAUGGCUACGAUAGGUAGGGGGCCUGAGGGAGGGGUCCCCCCCACUGGUACUGAGACACGGACCAGACUCGUACGGGAGGCAGCAGUGAGGAAUAUUGGUCAAUGGGCGCAAGCCUGAACCAGCCAUGCCGCGUGCAGGAAGAAUGCCCUAUGGGUUGUAAACUGCUUUUAUUUGGGAAUAAACCUCUUUACGUGUAGAGAGCUGAAGGUACCAAAUGAAUAAGCACCGGCUAACUCCGUGCCAGCCGCCGCUGUAA
RNAcentral lists this ribosomal RNA (503 nucleotides) under uncultured bacterium. RNAcentral describes it as "partial 16S ribosomal RNA". It matches the Rfam family "Bacterial small subunit ribosomal RNA", at positions 28 to 523 of the family's 1533-position model. The record is from RNAcentral.